GUGUGUAUGUAUUGAUACCAUUAGAACUCAUACAAUGCUUGUUUACAUUGGUUCUUCUAUUUGUUUGUUUACCUAUUGAAUUGCUGUUAAAAGUUACACAUGCAGUUCUUACUUUUCUACUUAUGUUAUUGUAUGAUGCUCAAUUUGACACUUUUCAAGUUUUUACUUUUUCUUAUAGGAUAUAAUUGAAGCUAAUAUAGAGGGUAAAUUAAUGACCACGUUGCCCUUACCUGGAUGGUAUAGGAUAUCACAAUCAUAGUCCUUGAGGAGUUCCAUCCACCUU
Molecule: long non-coding RNA, 283 nt
Filed under: Carica papaya (papaya)
Lineage: Eukaryota; Viridiplantae; Streptophyta; Magnoliopsida; Brassicales; Caricaceae
Description: long non-coding RNA (CPAP_LNC004776)
Source: RNAcentral